GUGACGCUUGCCCUGAACACCUCCGCGGCUGCAGCAGCCGCCGACAUAGUGUACCUGGCUCAUAAUGGGAAUGCAACCACAAACUGGUUCGCUAUCUGCCUACAGUUUGGUGACUUCUGCCGGAAAGUGAGUGGGGCUGUGGUGGCAUCGUUCGCUUCAGCUGUGGCUUUCAUGUUGUUAGUUGUGAUGUCUGGUCUGGCUCUCAGAAGGA
This 211-nucleotide unclassified non-coding RNA is filed under the name Hevea brasiliensis (rubber tree). Lineage: Eukaryota; Viridiplantae; Streptophyta; Magnoliopsida; Malpighiales; Euphorbiaceae. The record is from RNAcentral.